This 107-nucleotide small nuclear RNA is filed under the name Mus spretus (western wild mouse). Lineage: Eukaryota; Metazoa; Chordata; Mammalia; Rodentia; Muridae. The record is from RNAcentral.
GUACUCACUUCGGCAGCACAUGUACAAAAAUUGGAACAAUACAGAAAAGAUUACCAUGGCCACUGUGCAAGGAUGACACACAAAUUCACAAAGAAUUCCAAAUUUUA